RNAcentral lists this ribosomal RNA (474 nucleotides) under uncultured bacterium. RNAcentral describes it as "bacterial SSU rRNA". It matches the Rfam family "Bacterial small subunit ribosomal RNA", at positions 335 to 801 of the family's 1533-position model. The record is from RNAcentral.
ACUCCUACGGGAGGCAGCAGUAGGGAAUCUUCCACAAUGGGCGCAAGCCUGAUGGAGCAACACCGCGUGAGUGAAGAAGGGUUUCGGCCCGUAAAGCUCUGUUGUUAAAGAAGAACACGUAUGAGAGUAACUGUUCAUACGUUGACGGUAUUUAACCAGAAAGUCACGGCUAACUACGUGCCAGCAGCCGCGGUAAUACGUAGGUGGCAAGCGUUAUCCGGAUUUAUUGGGGCGUAAAGAGAGUGCAGGCGGUUUUCUAAGUCUGAUGUGAAAGCCUUCGGCUUAACCGGAGAAGUGCAUCGGAAACUGGAUAACUUGAGUGCAGAAGAGGGUAGUGGAACUCCAUGUGUAGCGGUGGAAUGCGUAGAUAUAUGGAAGAACACCAGUGGCGAAGGCGGCUACCUGGUCUGCAACUGACGCUGAGACUCGAAAGCAUGGGUAGCGAACAGGAUUAGAUACCCUGGUAGGAUAGCG